Bactrocera dorsalis (oriental fruit fly) is the source of this 1097-nucleotide long non-coding RNA. RefSeq lists it as uncharacterized. The record is from RefSeq and is a predicted model, not a curated record. The transcript is spliced from 6 exons. Lineage: Eukaryota; Metazoa; Arthropoda; Insecta; Diptera; Tephritidae.
UACUCGAAGCUUGAGGACAGGAAAUGUACUUUUUCGCAACAAAUCAAAUUAACUUUUAAGUCAACAACGUAAACCAAACAGCCGAGUGAUGUUACCAAGUAACGAAAAAACUAUCAUGCUUGCCAGUCUGGUACUUCGUUACUCGAUAAAGUAAGUUUGACAGCUGGUUACGCAUUGUGAAUGAUCCACAUUAGAAGAGCAAGAGAGAAUAAACAAAAGGCGUGUUUUAUUUGACCAUCAUAAGCUAAUAGCUAAACCAUGGACAAAUAAAACGCAUUUAGCUUAUUUCACAUUUUCGCUUAAAAAUGCAUUAUGUUGGCAACGCGAGAAAUAACAAUCAAUAUUCAAUUUAUUGCAACGAAAUGUUUGACAUGGAGAAAAGCAAAAGAAAAGUUUGGACAAAGGCGGAGACGCUCCUAUUCCUAAAAUGCUACAACGAAAGGAAGGACGAGUUCCUGCAUGCGCGAAAGAAAAAGUUCGCAUAUGAAAACGUCAUGGAGGACAUGAUAUAUCAAGGAUUUACAGAUACAACAAUUAAUGCGGCUGCCCUUGUUUCAAAAAUGCGAACGCUUUUGAAUGCCUACAAAGCAGCAAAAGACAACGAAACACAGACUGGCACUUCUCCGUGCACAGUACCAUAUAUGCGCGAGAUGGACGAAAUUUUUGGCGAAAGUUGCUUGGUGUCCAACAACCACACCUUAAACAUUGGGAUAGAUCCUCAAGAGGCAUUGGUUGAGUCUAGUGGUAAGGAUUCAACCGAUUUUCAAACAAUCCUUGACGAUAUGCCAAGUACUUCGAGGCAGAGCCGGUCUGCACUAAGCCGUAGCAUAUGCAGACCAAAUGCUGUGAAUUUACAGGAGCCGAACGCAGCAAAUUCUGUUCCAAAUCGGCGUUACAGGAAAAGCGCUAAAGUACUAUAUUUUGAAAAAAAAAUUGAACAAAAAAGAAAAAGUGCUGAAGUGCAGGCGAAGUUUUACGCAAAUAUCGAAAAACGAAUGCAGGAUGUGGCCGAAAAUCAAAAAAUUCUAAUAGAAAUUGAACAAAAAAAAAUUAAAAUAGAAGAAGAAAAAUUAAAAAUUUUAAAACAGUAUUUUAUG